UACGUAGGGUGCGAGCGUUAAUCGGAAUUACUGGGCGUAAAGCGUGCGCAGGCGGUUUUGUAAGCCAGAUGUGAAAGCCCCGGGCUCAACCUGGGAAUGGCAAUGGAUACUGGCAAGCUAGAGUGCGGUAGAGGGUAGUGGAAUUCCCGGUGUAGCGGUGAAAUGCGUAGAGAUCGGGAGGAACACCAGUGGCGAAGGCGGCUACCUGGACCAGCACUGACACUGAGGCACGAAAGCGUGGGGAGCAAACAGG
Molecule: ribosomal RNA, 253 nt
Filed under: uncultured bacterium
Lineage: Bacteria
Description: partial 16S ribosomal RNA
Rfam family: Bacterial small subunit ribosomal RNA
Source: RNAcentral